GAGAGAUCGUGCGAAAGGCUGGGAAACGGAUGUCCGCUGGGGGGGCUCCCACUGUUUUCGGCGCCAUCUGCAGUGAGAGGGACCCGCGCCGGCGCGUGAGGGACCGGGUGUCUGCGAGAUCCCGGUUGGUUGCCCAGCCCAGGGCGGGGAGGCCGCGUGUGUUGGAGUUGCAUCCAGAACUUUGGCCCGGAGAGUGCGUGAACAUGGGUGUGAUGUCGCAGCGGGCAGGGUGGCGACGGCCUUAUCAGAGGAGGCAUGCGGCAGCGACAUGCGUGUCGGGUGGGAGAGGGCCAGAAUGGUGAGGCCUAUUGCCGCACCGACGCGGCCCUGCACCCGGGAGGCGGUGGGGAUCGCCAGGAGGGGGGGUGCGCACCUCAUCAAUGAUGGAACGGCCGUGGGGUUGCCGCCUGCUUGGAGCUGCCUGGUGUCUGCCUCUACGAAGCCCAGGGACACCGUAUCC
This 460-nucleotide long non-coding RNA is filed under the name Androctonus crassicauda. The record is from RNAcentral. Lineage: Eukaryota; Metazoa; Arthropoda; Arachnida; Scorpiones; Buthidae.